UCCCAGCUCGAUUUUCAAAAA
Molecule: non-coding RNA, 21 nt
Filed under: Caenorhabditis elegans
Lineage: Eukaryota; Metazoa; Nematoda; Chromadorea; Rhabditida; Rhabditidae
Source: RNAcentral